RNAcentral lists this unclassified non-coding RNA (237 nucleotides) under Phacidium pseudophacidioides. Its description in RNAcentral is "partial contains 5.8S ribosomal RNA, internal transcribed spacer 2, and large subunit ribosomal RNA". Lineage: Eukaryota; Fungi; Ascomycota; Leotiomycetes; Phacidiales; Phacidiaceae. The record is from RNAcentral.
CGCACAUUGCGCCCCCUGGUAUUCCGGGGGGCAUGCCUGUUCGAGCGUCAUUACAACCCUCAAGCUCUGCUUGGUAUUGGGCGUCACCCCCGGGUGCGCCUUAAAAUCAGUGGCGGUGCCGUCUGGCUUCAAGCGUAGUAAUACUUCUCGCUUUGGAGUCCGGGCGAGCGUCCUGCCAAAACCCCCAUAUUUUUUCAGGUUGACCUCGGAUCAGGUAGGGAUACCCGCUGAACUUAA